Molecule: non-coding RNA, 101 nt
Filed under: Alicyclobacillus acidocaldarius
Lineage: Bacteria; Bacillati; Bacillota; Bacilli; Caryophanales; Alicyclobacillaceae
Also listed under: 1 other name
Description: TPP sequence
Rfam family: TPP riboswitch aptamer (THI element)
About the family: Vitamin B(1) in its active form thiamin pyrophosphate (TPP) is an essential coenzyme that is synthesised by coupling of pyrimidine and thiazole moieties in bacteria. The previously detected thiamin-regulatory element, thi box was extended, resulting in a new, highly conserved RNA secondary structure, the THI element, which is widely distributed in eubacteria and also occurs in some archaea. Analysis of operon structures identified a large number of new candidate thiamin-regulated genes, mostly transporters, in various prokaryotic organisms.
Source: RNAcentral
AGAAGGGCCUAGGGGUGCCGGAAGGCUGAGAGGCGGACAUCCGCCAACCCUGUGGACUCGAUCUGGGUAAUACCAGCGUGAGGAAGUGCCCGUCAUCGUCC